Molecule: long non-coding RNA, 1081 nt
Organism: Dermacentor silvarum
Lineage: Eukaryota; Metazoa; Arthropoda; Arachnida; Ixodida; Ixodidae
Exons: 3
Source: RefSeq, a predicted model, not a curated record
UAGAUGCUCCAUGCAUGUCUAGACAAUUUGACAGCUUUAUAAAGCUGUGUGCCACUGCUAUAAGUUAACACAGAACUUAUUUUAUAGUGGCGAGGCUGUGACCCAUAACAGUGCCUACAUAACGGAGGAGCCACCAGACCCCUUGGCUAUGCCUGCCGUAGUGCAACGUAUAAUCUGGAUGGUCGGGUCAGGUACACCUAGGAAAUGUUGUAUACAUUGGCAACGAUAACUGGGGCCUGCUCCAGUGCCAUCGCCGGGAUUCCCUGUUCUGCAAAAAACUGACAUAACUGAUGUGGGGAGCCCUGGCGCUUGGUGUAGGAGUAUCACAGGGGCUCCUUGUCGGUGCUUGAAGGACGGCAAUGCUGUUGAGAAGCCGACAUUGAGCCCCGAUAAAUUGGAAGCUGUGGGUAGUUACCGCAUUAUUGACUUGGAAACCAGUGAGGUCUGGAUGCAAGUGAAGCUACCGAGGGAGGCAUGUGUGCAUCACUUGUGCUGCUGGCCAUCCUCUGCAAAAGUGAUGGCUGGCAGUCAGUGCUUGGAUGACUUUCUGUUACUCUACGCCUUGGGCUGUGUUGACUACUUCACACUUGCUGCCAUGUCUGCAAGCUUAGGCAAAAAGACCGGCUGGAUGCUUGGCAGGAGAUAGUAUCCAACCGCAGUGUUACUGUGUUGUGUUGUACAUUACAAAGUGAUGGAGGACAGUAUUUGUGCUGUUAUUAAGAAGUAUAAAUUGUGUUCUGCCAUUGAAAUAAGGGAACUCGACACAAAGCAAAAGAUUUCGAAGUCUGACCUACAUGGGAAAGCAAAAUAUAUUGUGUUGUAGUUGUAGCUGUUAGUAGAGUCUUAAUAUGCGGUAGAAGACCUUGAUGUUUAAUAGAAAAUAUAUUUAAGUGUGUUAUCAGUGUGUUAUCAGUGUUUAAGUUACUGUUAUGUGUCAUUUGUUUGCCAAGAUGAUGUAAGCAGACAGUAAAUAAAUGCAUGGUUUGAGAUUAUAACCAGGUUUGUCUAUGGCAUUCACUAUUAUUUAAGGUGGACCAAUGCAUAUUCAUGGGUGCAUAUUCAACCACCACAUUCCUCCUGC